AUUGAACGCUGGCGGCAUGCCUUACACAUGCAAGCCGAACGGCAGCACGAGAGCUAUCCUGGUGGCGAGUGGCGAACGGGUGAGUAAAGUAUCGGAACGUGCCCAGUCGUGGGGGAUAACGUAGCGAAAGUUACGCUAAUACCGCAUACGAUCUAUGGAUGAAAGCGGGGGACCGCAAGACCUCGCGCGAUUGGAGUGGCCGAUAUCAGAUUAGGUAGUUGGUGGGGUAAAGGCUCACCAAGCCGACGAUCUGUAGCUGGUCUGAGAGGACGACCAGCCACACUGGGACUGAGACACGGCCCAGACUCCUACGGGAGGCAGCAGUGGGGAAUUUUGGACAAUGGGCGAAAGCCUGAUCCAGCCGUGCCGCGUGCAGGAUGAAGGCCUUCGGGUUGUAAACUGCUUUCGUACGGAACGAAAAGGUUUGGCCUAAUAAGCUGAGCUCAUGACGGUACCGUAAGAAUAAGCACCGGCUAACUACGUGCCAGCCGCCGCCGUAA
This 500-nucleotide ribosomal RNA is filed under the name uncultured bacterium. Its description in RNAcentral is "partial 16S ribosomal RNA". It matches the Rfam family "Bacterial small subunit ribosomal RNA", at positions 30 to 523 of the family's 1533-position model. The record is from RNAcentral.